GAUGAACGCUGGCGGCGUGCCUAAUACGUGCAAGUCGAGCGAACAGAUAAGGAGCUUGCUCCUUUGACGUUAGCGGCGGACGGGUGAGUAACACGUGGAUAACCUACCUAUAAGACUGGGAUAACUUCGGGAAACCGGAGCUAAUACCGGAUAACAUAUUGAACCGCAUGGUUCAAUAGUGAAAGGCGGCUUUGCUGUCACUUAUAGAUGGAUCCGGGCGGUAUUAGCUAGUUGGUAAGGUAACGGCUUACCAAGGCAACGAUACGUAUCCGACCUGAGAGGGUGAUCGCCCACACUGGAACUGAGACACGGUCCAGACUCCUACGGGAGGCAGCAGUAGGGAAUCGGCCGCAAUGGGCGAAAGCCUGACGGAGCAACGCCGCGUGAGUGAUGAAGGUCUUCGGAGCGUAAAACUCUGUUAUCAGGGAAGAACAAAUGUGUAAGUAACUGUGCACAGCGUGACGGUACCUGAUCAGAAAGCCACGGCUAACUACGUG
Molecule: ribosomal RNA, 497 nt
Filed under: uncultured bacterium
Lineage: Bacteria
Description: partial 16S ribosomal RNA
Rfam family: Bacterial small subunit ribosomal RNA
Source: RNAcentral